GCGCAUAUAGCUCAGCAGGAUAGAGCACCUCCCUCCUAAGGAGGGGGCCGGGGGUUCGAAUCCCUCUAUGCGCGCCA
This 77-nucleotide transfer RNA is filed under the name Clostridia bacterium. RNAcentral describes it as "tRNA-Arg". It matches the Rfam family "tRNA". Rfam says of the family: Transfer RNA (tRNA) molecules are approximately 80 nucleotides in length. Their secondary structure includes four short double-helical elements and three loops (D, anti-codon, and T loops). Lineage: Bacteria; Bacillati; Bacillota; Clostridia. The record is from RNAcentral. RNAcentral also lists the same sequence under 2 other names.